CGGGUGUGACAGAACCACAGAAGAUCCACCACCAUCAGGACCAUCACAAGGGCCCCAUAGAGGAGGACCACCAGCAGACAGACUGGUCAGCUACUAUGGGAAACAGAACGCUUGUAUGACUCGUUGCAAGCAUUGUAAUUGCAGUAGGACAGAUCCGGGAAAUCGGAAAGACGGGGGCAGUGGAAACCGGAGUGGUGCCUUCCUCGGGCGUCUGAGUAGCCCUCACAGAACAUCGCGACACUGCGGGGGUUCCUUGGGGAUGCCGUCUUACUGCUUGCUACAACAGAGAAGACAGAGGCGAAUCCUACUUCCUCCGUAAUGACAAAGCAAUUCAGAGAUACAGAACGAUGUCAGCUGAGAGUCCCAGCUUAGAGACCUGUCACCUCCCGUGCUUUAAUCAGUUGGGUUUUACA
Brienomyrus brachyistius is the source of this 413-nucleotide long non-coding RNA. RefSeq lists it as uncharacterized. The record is from RefSeq and is a predicted model, not a curated record. Lineage: Eukaryota; Metazoa; Chordata; Actinopteri; Osteoglossiformes; Mormyridae. The transcript has 3 exons.